GGAAUCAUAAAAGGAAACAAACACGUCCUGGCUUCCUGAUGAGGGGCGCGAGGGCCGCGGAAAACGCGAAGACAACUAACCCUCAUCCGGCGCAUCUGAGAGCAGGUCGCCGCCCCGGCCGAUCCACUUCUACCAUACGCGAGAGCAGGCCGCCGUCUUCGCCGCUCCUCCGACGGAGGCAAUUGCAGGACGCCGCCCCUGCCGCUGCUCCUCUGCUUCCCCAUGUAGGCCGCUGAUCCUCUUCCCACGGACGCGAGCGCAGGCCGACGCCCCCGCCGGUCCCUUUCUAACGAACUUAAGAGCAGGCCGCUACCCCCGCCGCUCCUCCUCCAACGGAUGCGAGAGCAGGCCGCCGCCCCGCUGCUCCUCCUCUGCUACCCCAGUGUCAACGGAAUAGAGGAACGCAGCGGAAGGAGCAUCAGGCACGCGGUUGCAGCGCCGGCGAAGGUCGGAAAAGAGAUGGGUGGGUUCUCGCCAAGUUUCUGCGGCUCAUGGUGUUCAUCCAACUCCCUAGAACAACUAGAAGAUGAGUUACCACGACUUCUACAUCAAAGGUUGGAUCUUUAGUAGUUUGUUGGUGGGUGUGCCUACUUAUUAAUUUGAUUUGAUAAGUCAACCUGAGGAACUGCAGAUUGGGUGUGAAUGAAGUUGUUAAUAUCAUUUCGUCGUGUGUACUUGUGUACUAAUGAUAGCUGUUGCGUUUGUCUGUGAGAGCUGCUGCGUUGUAUAAGGCCGACGUGCACCAAUGUAAACUUUAGGUGAAGCUUACAACACGGCGAGGGAUAGCCUUGAUUUCUGCAUGAGUAAUGCACCUGUAAUGUUUCAUGUUGUGUUCCUAGACUGCCAACAUUACAGAAUGAUAAGCAUUAUGAAUUAGAUUUUUCUCCGCAUGACAAUUGGUAUGGUUGUUGCUUGACAAAUGAUUUAAAGGCAUAAACUGAUUAGAGAACAUGUCAUGUGUUCUAAUUUCUGAAUCAUAUAGCUCACAUCAAUAUUUUGAAGCUGAACUACAUUGAUUUUUAUGUUUUCCACUAACUGCACCUACACAUGCACAUGCUAAAUUUGUAGAAUGUUACCUUCCAAUAAGAGGAAUCAAAUAAAAAGAAGUAUAUGUAACAAAUUUAAUUUUCGUAACAUGUACGACUUCCAAAUUUAUAUAUUCGAGCUCAUUGUCAGUUCAAAUACCUCUGUUUCGAUGUUAUUGGUGAUUCCAGUUGAAUUGAAUGUUGAGAAUUGCUUUGCAGCCUGAUGUACAACACUAACAUUUUCGUAAAGAAGAAUAAAUUUAAUCGGAGAUGCUUCUAUUUAUUCUCUAAUGAUGUAACCAUAUAACUUGUAUGCUUUCUCUUGUCAACAAGCAAGGUACUUCUUUCAGCAACUACUUUCGGAGGUCUGCUACUGCCAUUUCAUGGAAAUCUGUCACCAUGAUCUUAAACAUGAUGAGAGUCGAACAUCCCAGUGAAAAUUUGCAACUUUGGUUACUCAAAGGUGCUAAUACUUGUGUUAUGUAUCAUGGAUUGCUAGAAUUGAUCUUUCCCUUUUAUGCUCUUCAAUUGAUAUACCGUAUUCAGCUAUCUAACUCUUGCUUUCCAUACACUUCUUUAGCAGAACAUCAUCAUAUAUUUGACUGCUUAAAGAGACGACUUUGAAUGGAAAAUGAGUAAAGACACUGACUAUUAUCGCAGCCAAUAGAUUUAUUUGUUGUGCUCUUCCGAACUGGAAUACCCUCAAUGCUAAUAAUUUAUUAAUUUUAUUUAGAUGACACCUAAACCCCUAAGUCAUGUUUCUUGCAGUGUAUUUUCUUACACUUCAUUAAAAUUAAUUAUAUAGGUCUACAAUAGUUGCUUCUUUAAAUUAAAGUAGUCUGCUUAUGAGAGAUAUAAAACAAUCCAGUUCUCUGACCAUGAAUAUUGUGGGAAAUUUCAAAAUAUUUGAUGGAAAAUUCUACACACUUGAAAAGGAAAGUUGGGUACUUUCGAAAAGGAAGAUUCUCUGGCAUGCAUUUUCUAAGUUGUAAUGCUCUGCUUUCACUUGCACAAUAACACUGCUCCUAGAUGUACCUUGCCUUGACAUGCACAAUAACAUUGCCUUGAUGUACUAUUCGGAAAGAAUAUGCAAAAUAACAUAUGCUCGGAGAAUAAUUUUAAUUGCCUUCUUAACAUCAAUAUUUUAGGGGCACGGUAUGCCUCACUCCAGGAACAAUGUACCAUUGCGACUGCUUCUAAUUGAGUUUUAUAUUUAAUCAUUUGCCCUCAGAGCGCAUUAAACACCCAUGUAUCUUUCUUGAACUGAUGGGUAUCACCGGAUUGGACAAAUACAUUUCUGAUCUGGUAGUUUGACUAUCGUUCUUUGGUAAUUUACUUAUUGUUACAUGUAUAUACCAGUUGUAAAAUGCACCUAAUUGUAGCGUUGGCACUCUCCGCGUGUGUUUCGUCACGCUUGGACCAAUAUUGUGAGCAUCCCAACAUGCUGUGGCUCUGCAUGUCAAGGGCGGUGCGUUGUUGGACAGGGUACAGGUUCUCUCGAGUGACGAAAGGACGAAGGAGAGUGUAAAAGUGUUGGUACAUGUGAUGGCGCAUCACUGAUGUGGUUGAGUACAGUUUUUAGCCAGUUAAGAGGAGGAACAAGAACAGUUGGGUGCAGCUGAAGUAUUAAUGAAGAGGACCUAUUCAUUCA
Molecule: long non-coding RNA, 2676 nt
Organism: Aegilops tauschii subsp. strangulata
Lineage: Eukaryota; Viridiplantae; Streptophyta; Magnoliopsida; Poales; Poaceae
Source: RefSeq, a predicted model, not a curated record